CACUCCUACGGGAGGCAGCAGUGGGGAAUUUUGGACCAUGGGCGAAAGCCUGAUCCAGCAAUGCCGCGUGAGUGAAGAAGGCCUUCGGGUUGUAAAGCUCUUUUGUCAGGGAAGAAACGGUGAGAGCUAAUAUCUCUUGCUAAUGACGGUACCUGAAGAAUAAGCACCGGCUAACUACGUGCCAGCAGCCGCGGUAAUACGUAGGGUGCAAGCGUUAAUCGGAAUUACUGGGCGUAAAGCGUGCGCAGGCGGUUUUGUAAGUCUGAUGUGAAAUCCCCGGGCUCAACCUGGGAAUUGCAUUGGAGACUGCAAGGCUAGAAUCUGGCAGAGGGGGGUAGAAUUCCACGUGUAGCAGUGAAAUGCGUAGAUAUGUGGAGGAACACCGAUGGCGAAGGCAGCCCCCUGGGUCAAGAUUGACGCUCAUGCACGAAAGCGUGGGGAGCAAACAGGAUUAGAUACCCUUGUAGUCCCA
This 472-nucleotide ribosomal RNA is filed under the name uncultured organism. Its description in RNAcentral is "partial 16S ribosomal RNA". It matches the Rfam family "Bacterial small subunit ribosomal RNA", at positions 334 to 797 of the family's 1533-position model. The record is from RNAcentral.